Small nucleolar RNA from Heterocephalus glaber (naked mole-rat), 78 nucleotides. Its record names the gene U3. It matches the Rfam family "Small nucleolar RNA U3". Rfam says of the family: Small nucleolar RNAs (snoRNAs) are involved in the processing and modification of rRNA in the nucleolus. There are two main classes of snoRNAs: the box C/D class, and the box H/ACA class. NCBI's taxonomy places the organism in Eukaryota, Metazoa, Chordata, Mammalia, Rodentia, Bathyergidae. The record is from Ensembl.
AAGGCUAUACUUUCAGGAAUUAUUUCUGUAGUUCAUUACUAGAGAAGUUUCUCUGAUCAUGUAGAGUAUCAACAAUAU